This 540-nucleotide ribosomal RNA is filed under the name Bifidobacterium adolescentis JCM 15918. RNAcentral describes it as "bacterial SSU rRNA". It matches the Rfam family "Bacterial small subunit ribosomal RNA", at positions 161 to 711 of the family's 1533-position model. Lineage: Bacteria; Bacillati; Actinomycetota; Actinomycetes; Bifidobacteriales; Bifidobacteriaceae. The record is from RNAcentral.
UGGUAAUGCCGGAUGCUCCGACAUGACGCAUGUCGUGUCGGGAAAGAUUCAUCGGUAUGGGAUGGGGUCGCGUCCUAUCAGCUUGAUGGCGGGGUAACGGCCCACCAUGGCUUCGACGGGUAGCCGGCCUGAGAGGGCGACCGGCCACAUUGGGACUGAGAUACGGCCCAGACUCCUACGGGAGGCAGCAGUGGGGAAUAUUGCACAAUGGGCGCAAGCCUGAUGCAGCGACGCCGCGUGCGGGAUGACGGCCUUCGGGUUGUAAACCGCUUUUGACUGGGAGCAAGCCCUUCGGGGUGAGUGUACCUUUCGAAUAAGCACCGGCUAACUACGUGCCAGCAGCCGCGGUAAUACGUAGGGUGCAAGCGUUAUCCGGAAUUAUUGGGCGUAAAGGGCUCGUAGGCGGUUCGUCGCGUCCGGUGUGAAAGUCCAUCGCUUAACGGUGGAUCCGCGCCGGGUACGGGCGGGCUUGAGUGCGGUAGGGGAGACUGGAAUUCCCGGUGUAACGGUGGAAUGUGUAGAUAUCGGGAAAGAACACCA